Molecule: ribosomal RNA, 460 nt
Filed under: uncultured bacterium
Lineage: Bacteria
Description: partial 16S ribosomal RNA
Rfam family: Bacterial small subunit ribosomal RNA
Source: RNAcentral
ACUACGGGUGGCAGCAGUGAGGAAUAUUUGUCAAUGGGCGUAAGCCUGAACCAGCCAAGUCGCGUGAGGGAUGAAGGUUCUAUGGAUCGUAAACCUCUUUUAUAAGGGAAUAAAGUGUGGGACGUGUCCUGUUUUGUAUGUACCUUAUGAAUAAGGAUCGGCUAACUCCGUGCCAGCAGCCGCGGUAAUACGGAGGAUCCGAGAGUUAUCCGGCGUGAUUGGGUUUAAAGGGUGCGUAGGCGGCCUUUUAAGUCAUCGGUGAAAGUCUGUGGCUCAACCAUAGAAUUGCCAGUGAAACUGGGAGGCUUGAGUAUGUUUGAGGCAGGCGGAAUGCGUGGUGUAGCGGUGAAAUGCUUAGAUAUCACGCAGAACCCCGAUUGCGAAGGCAGCCUGCCAAGCCAUGACUGACGCUGAUGCACGAAAGCGUGGGGAUCAAACAGGAUUAGAUACCCGGGUAGUC